GCGGUAAUUCCAGCUCCAAUAGCGUAUAUGUAAAUUGUUGCGGUUGAAAAGCUCGUAGUUGGACUUCUGGCGUCCGCAUUCUGUCCGCCUUGCGCGAUGACGGUUUGCGGGCGUCGUUUNUGUCGACGGUGCGCGUCGGACUUCACUGGCCGAUGCGCUCUCUGUCGGCGACGUUACUUUGAGGAAAUCAGAGUGCUCAAAGCAAGCGUUUGCUCGUGACUUCACUAGCAUGGAAUAACACAGAUGGGCUCUUUUUCGCAACGUUGGUCUGCGUCAACUGAGCAACGAUCGAUAGAGACGGUCGGGGGCAUUCGUAUUGCGCAGUUAGAGGUGAAAUUCUCCGAUCUGCGCAAGACGCACUAAUGCGAAAGCAGUUGCCAAGGACGUUCUCUUAUGAUCAAGAGCGAAAGUCGGGGGAUCAAAGAUGAUUAGAUACCGUCGUAGUCCCGACCAUAAAUGAUGCCAACUGAGCGUCGGCGACGCGGCUGUCAGCCGGACGUCGGCGCUCUUGAGAGAAAUUAAAGUCUU
RNAcentral lists this ribosomal RNA (528 nucleotides) under Udotea sp. LL-2018. RNAcentral's name for it is "bacterial SSU rRNA". It matches the Rfam family "Eukaryotic small subunit ribosomal RNA", at positions 576 to 1107 of the family's 1831-position model. The record is from RNAcentral. Lineage: Eukaryota; Viridiplantae; Chlorophyta; Ulvophyceae; Bryopsidales; Halimedaceae.